RNAcentral lists this ribosomal RNA (497 nucleotides) under uncultured bacterium. RNAcentral describes it as "partial 16S ribosomal RNA". It matches the Rfam family "Bacterial small subunit ribosomal RNA", at positions 28 to 507 of the family's 1533-position model. The record is from RNAcentral.
GAUGAACGCUGGCGGCGUGCCUAAUACAUGCCAGUCGAGCGAAAAGAUAAGGAGCUUGCUCCUUUGACGUUAGCGGCGGACGGGUGAGUAACACGUGGAUAACCUACCUAUAAGACUGGGAACACUUCGGGAAACGGGCGAAAAUCCGGGAUAAGAUUUGGAACCGCGUGGUUCUAAGGAGAGAGUUGGUUUUGCUGUCACUUCUAGAGGGACCUCCGCCGUUUUGGCUGGUUGUUAAGUUAAAGGGUUACCAAGGCGAGCAUUCGUGGCCGAGCGAAGAGGGGGGUCGGCCACACUGGAACGGAGACACGGUCCAGGCGCCUACGAGAGGCAGCAGUAGGGAAUCUUCCGCAAUAGGCGAAAGCCUUACGGAGCAACGCCGCGUGAGUGAUGAAGGGGUUCGGCUCGUAAAACUCUGUUAUUAGGGAAGAACAAAUGUGUAAGUAGCUGUGCACGUCUUGACGGUACCUAAUCAGAAAGCCACGGCUAACUACGUG